This 494-nucleotide ribosomal RNA is filed under the name uncultured bacterium. Its description in RNAcentral is "partial 16S ribosomal RNA". It matches the Rfam family "Bacterial small subunit ribosomal RNA", at positions 28 to 507 of the family's 1533-position model. The record is from RNAcentral.
GACGAACGCUGGCGGCGUGCUUAACACAUGCAAGUCGAACGGUGAAGCGCCUUCCUUUUUGGUGGGUGUGGAUGAGUGGCGAACGGGUGAGUAACACGUGAGUAACCUGCCCCCUUCUUCUGGAUAACCGCAUGAAAGUGUGGCUAAUACGGGAUAUUCUGGGUCUGUCGCAUGAUGGGUCUGGGAAAGAUAUUGUUUCGGUGGGGGAUGGGCUCGCGGCCUAUCAGCUUGUUGGUGGGGUGAUGGCCUACCAAGGCGGUGACGGGUAGCCGGCCCGAGAGGGUGGACGGUCACACUGGGACUGAGACACGGCCCAGACUUCUACGGGAGGCAGCAGUGGGGAAUAUUGCACAAUGGGCGCAAGCCUGAUGCAGCGACGCCGCGUGAGGGAUGGAGGCCUUCGGGUUGUGAACCUCUUUCGCCAGUGAAGCAGGCCUGCCUCGUUUGUGGGUGGGUUGACGGUAGCUGGAUAAGAAGCGCCGGCUAACUACGUG